AGAGCGAGGUUCGGAGAAGCGGUGGUGGUUUCCAUGUGACGGUGGAGGAAGAGGCAGGUCUUGGAGGUCAUUUACCAUGAUGUCCUCCAGGUUCAACAGUGUGGCUCCAAAUGAUGAAAUUUCAUUCUGUUUUUCUGGCUGAAGAAUAUUCUAUUCGUGUACAUCCACCACAGUUACUUUAUCCUUUCAUCUGUGGAUGGACAGGUUUUUCCACAUGGCUGCAAAUGACUAGAUUUCACCCAUUUCUAUGGUUGAAGAAUAUUCCGUUCUGGAUGAACAUUGCAGUUUCCUCAUCCCUUCAUCAAUGGAUGAAAAGAUGGAGUUUGCUGUGUCGCCUAGGCUGGAGUGCAGUGGCAUGAUCUCAGCUCACUCCAACCUCUGCCUCCCAGGUUCAAACAAUUCUCCUGCCUCAGCCUCCUGAGUAACUGGGAUUAUAGGUGUUCGCCACCAUGCCCAGCUAAUUUUUUGUCAUUUUAGUAGAGAAGAGGUUUCACCAUGUUGGCCAGGCUGGUCUUGAACUCCUGAACUCAGAUGAUUAACCCGCCUCAGCCUCCCAAAGUGCUGGGAUUACAAGCAUGAACCACUGUGCCUGGCCAGAUUUAUCUUCAUAGUAGCACUAUACUGUUUAUUUACUGUAACAUUGUAAUAAGAAUGUAUAUUUUUAGUAUAAGCCAUUGAAUUAUUUUUCAAAUUUUGUUGUGUAUAUUUGAUUUUCUUUGGACAUUAAUAUUUUAUAAAGAGCUUGUCGGUUUCUAUUUUAAAAGGUAGUUGGGAAUUUGAAUUGAAUCUGUAAAUGUUUUGUUAUUUUUAUCUAAAUACGAAAUAUUGUUAUCCCAAAACAUUGACUGGCUCUCAAUCUAUUCAAUUUUUCUUCAAUUUAUUUCAUUAUUUAAAAUAUUUUAUUUCAUCAUUUAAAAUAUUUUAGUGUAAAGAACUUAUGUUUGUCUUGUACUUCUGGUGUUAAUUAUUAAGUUUUUAGUGAAUUUGUCACAUUUUUAUGUAGAAGAGCAUGUAUUGUGUAAUACAAUUUUUUUUUUUUGUCUAAUCUGGAUAAUUUUGCUUAUUUUUCUAGUAUGAUUUUCUUGGAUAAUACCUCUAGUACAAUGUUGAUUAAAUUGGUUUAAUACGAAAUUCUUGUCUUGUUUCCAAGCUUAUAAAUAAUGCUCUCAUUCUUUUACUAUUAUGUAUGUUAGCUCUAGGUUUUAAUAGAUGAUUUUAAGCAGGACUGAGAUGUCUAUAUUAGUAGUUAGCUGUGAGUCUUAUUCCAAAUUGAUAUUGGAUUUCUUAAGUCUUUUUCUAUGUCUGUUAAAAUAAUCAUUUCCCCUUUAUUAAAGUAAUAUUAUGCAAUACUUUAAAUUUUGAAUAUUUUGCCAACAUUGCAUUUUUGAAAAUAUCUUACUUUGUCAUAGUAUAUAAUCCUUUUUAUAUGUUGUUGGAUUCAGUUAGUAGUUUUGAUAAUUUAUGUGUCUAUAUUCAUAUAACAUAUUGGUUCAUGGUUUUUUUACUUGUGAUUUUUUUGUAUUUUUUUAAAUCAUGCUAAUACUAAUAGAUGGAUUGGGAAAUGUUACCUUUUCUUAUAUUGCUGGGAGUUUUUGUAUAUAAUUUGCAUUAAUUCUUCAUUAAAAGCUCAUGUAAUUUACCA
Molecule: long non-coding RNA, 1642 nt
Organism: Macaca mulatta (Rhesus monkey)
Lineage: Eukaryota; Metazoa; Chordata; Mammalia; Primates; Cercopithecidae
Source: Ensembl